GGCUCCCUAGGAGAUGAAGUGAAAGUGCACGUGAGGCUUAUCACUGGGAUUUGUUUCCUCCUACUCAUUCACCUUUGCUUUCUCCCCCUCACAAUACUCCUGCACAUGCGUGUGUUGCCAGGUAUAGUGGUCUCUGCACUCUGGGUUCUGUGAUGUCACCCAGGUGAGCAUGGUCAAGAUGCCUGCCAUGCGAUGCGAGAUGUAGGACUCCACCUGGGAUCCAUUUGAAAGGAUCCAGUGGAUCGGGUGGGGAGGGAAGGACUGAACCCAGCCGUCUCCAUGAAUUACUUGGCAGGAAAAGGAAGCAUCUCCUCCUGGGGCCUCAACUGGGGAGACUCGAAGGCUGGGGAGGACGCUACUGCUGGAGACUGGGAUGCCCCAUGGACUCUUUCACUCCCAUGUCUAGUGCUUGAACUGAGAAGAAAACCAGCUACUGAAUACCUGCUGCAUUUGAGGCGCUGGGAGGGACGUAAGGACUUCGAGGCUUAAAUCCUGCAUUCUAGCUGGGGAGACAAGAGGUCAAGGGUACAGUUUUGUCUUGUUAGCUGGAUAUGUAUUUAAGAGACCAGCUGAGUGUUACAGACACAG
Molecule: long non-coding RNA, 588 nt
Organism: Equus caballus (horse)
Lineage: Eukaryota; Metazoa; Chordata; Mammalia; Perissodactyla; Equidae
Source: RefSeq, a predicted model, not a curated record